This 467-nucleotide ribosomal RNA is filed under the name uncultured bacterium. RNAcentral's name for it is "partial 16S ribosomal RNA". It matches the Rfam family "Bacterial small subunit ribosomal RNA", at positions 28 to 506 of the family's 1533-position model. The record is from RNAcentral.
GACGAACGCUGGCGGCGUGCCUAACACAUGCAAGUCGAACGGAGCUGAGAGAAGUUUGCUCUUCUUAGCUUAGUGGCGAACGGGUGAGUAACGUGUGAGUAACCUGCCCUGGAGUGGGGGACAACAGUUGGAAACGACUGCUACUACCGCAUAAGCCCACGAUCCGGCAUCGGACUGAGGGAAAAGGAUUUAUUCGCUUCGGGAGGGACUCGCGUCCAAUUAGCUAGUUGGUGAGGUAACGGCCCACAAAGGCGAGGAUUGGUAGCCGGACUGGAGGGUGGACCGGCACCAUUGGGCUGGGGACCAGGCCCGAACUCCUAAGGAAGGCAGAAGGGGGGGUUAUGGAACAAUGGGGGAAACCCGAAUGCAGCGGGGCCGGUGAGAGGAGGAGGGUUUAGGGAUUGUAAGCUCCUGUCGUUGGGGAGGUUAAGACCGGAACCUAACAAGAAGGCACCGCCUAACUAGUU